GCCAGCCUGGGGUAGUGGUUUGAGUAUUGGACUAUGACUCUAGAGACCAAGGUUUGAAUCCUGGCUUGGUC
Molecule: non-coding RNA, 71 nt
Organism: Phrynosoma platyrhinos (Desert horned lizard)
Lineage: Eukaryota; Metazoa; Chordata; Lepidosauria; Squamata; Phrynosomatidae
Source: the annotation of a GenBank genome assembly